Molecule: transfer RNA, 82 nt
Filed under: Candidatus Omnitrophota bacterium
Lineage: Bacteria; Pseudomonadati; Candidatus Omnitrophota
Description: Candidatus Omnitrophica bacterium tRNA-Leu
Rfam family: tRNA
About the family: Transfer RNA (tRNA) molecules are approximately 80 nucleotides in length. Their secondary structure includes four short double-helical elements and three loops (D, anti-codon, and T loops).
Source: RNAcentral
GCCGAUGUGAUGAAAUUGGUAAACAUGUACGGUUCAGAGCCGUAUGCCACAAGGCUUGUGGGUUCAAAUCCCACCAUCGGCA